RNAcentral lists this transfer RNA (66 nucleotides) under Halocaridinides fowleri. Its description in RNAcentral is "tRNA-Leu". Lineage: Eukaryota; Metazoa; Arthropoda; Malacostraca; Decapoda; Atyidae. The record is from RNAcentral.
AUUAUCUUGGCAGAUGAAUGCGUUAGAUUUAGGAUCUAUUUAUAUAGUUAUACUCUAUAGGUAAUA